RNAcentral lists this long non-coding RNA (806 nucleotides) under Cricetulus griseus (Chinese hamster). RNAcentral's name for it is "lncRNA (ENSCGRG00000026477.1)". The record is from RNAcentral. Lineage: Eukaryota; Metazoa; Chordata; Mammalia; Rodentia; Cricetidae.
GCUGUAGUGUUUCACACUUACCAACCCAGCACCCCAGAGGCAGAGACCAGAGAGUAACCUCAAGCAUGAAGCCGGCCUGGUCUACCCAUUGCGUUCCAGGCCAGCCAAGACUCCAGAAUGGAACAAACAGGAACAUUAAUUACACCCAGAUUUGAAAUCUGGAUUUAUUUCUACCUUAAGUAAUGAUACUGGGUUAUUAACGUCUGUUUGGAGAAUAACAAUAAUAAAAGGUAAAAUUGUAGCUAUGUCUCCUUUUGAGAGGUUGAUCUUGUGAUGUCUCUUUUCAGAAUCUGAUAAAAUACCAGUAAUGCGUGGACAGUGGUUUAUUGAUGGGACUUGGCAGCCUCUAGAAGAAGAAGAAAGUAAUUUAAUUGAGCGAGAACAUCUCAGCUGUUUUAGAGGUCAGCAGAUGCAAGAAAACUUUGAUAUUGACGUGUCAAAAUCCGUAGAUGGAAAAGACGGCAGUGGGAUCAACUAUUCUGGUGAGUACAAUACACAGGAGCUUAGAAUAUAUAGAUACUCCAAGUGUUUCUUCAUCCUUGCUUGCCUUUAUUUGGGAGGCUUUUGGCAAGCCCUGCUGAACCUAGUGAAUUGAAGUACAACUUGAGUAAUCACUUUCCUUCCCCAUAAAACCCCUCUAAAGCCAAGCAGCCCAGCAUUGAUGGGGCAGGUCACAGAAUGUAGCUCUGCAUUGUCUUCAGGCCCUGUAUCCAGUCUCUUCUCUUUGGUCCAUUUCCUCCUCUUUGCUUCUGUUCCUUAUUGUCUGUCAUCUCACUGAACACUUAGACACACACACACACACACAC